AAUUCUCAACCUUAUUAGUUUUUACUAGUAAUGGCUUGGAUGUGAGGGUUUGCAGGUUUCGAAAGAAGUCUGCUCCCUUUAAAUGCAUUAGCCGGUACCCCGCGUGGAUCGUCUAUUGGUGUGAUAAUUAUCUACGCCGUUAGAUGUCUACAAUUAAUGGGAUGUGCUGCUUCUAACUGUCCUUUGGACAACUUAUGACC
This 200-nucleotide unclassified non-coding RNA is filed under the name uncultured Cortinariaceae. Its description in RNAcentral is "sequence contains ITS2". Lineage: Eukaryota; Fungi; Basidiomycota; Agaricomycetes; Agaricales; Cortinariaceae. The record is from RNAcentral. RNAcentral also lists the same sequence under 1 other name.